AGAGUUUGAUCCUGGCUCAGGAUGAACGCUAGCUACAGGCUUAACACAUGCAAGUCGAGGGGCAUCAUGAUCAAAGCUUGCUUUGAUGAUGGCGACCGGCGCACGGGUGAGUAACGCGUAUCCAACCUUCCCCUUAGUAGGGCAUAGCCCGGCGAAAGUCGGAUUAAUACCCUAUGUUCUUCGUAGAGGCCAUCUGAAAUGAAGCAAAGGUUUACCGCUAAGGGAUGGGGAUGCGUCCGAUUAGGUUGUUGGCGGGGUAACGGCCCACCAAGCCCGCGAUCGGUAGGGGUUCUGAGAGGAAGGUCCCCCACACUGGUACUGAGACACGGACCAGACUCCUACGGGAGGCAGCAGUGAGGAAUAUUGGUCAAUGGGCGUAAGCCUGAACCAGCCAAAAGUAGCGUGCAGGACGACGGCCCUAUGGGUUGUAAACUGCUUUUAUGCGGGGAUAAAGUGACGUACGUGUACGUUUUUGUAGGUACCGCAUGAAUAAGGACCGGCUAAUUCCGUGCCAGCCGCCGC
RNAcentral lists this ribosomal RNA (522 nucleotides) under uncultured bacterium. Its description in RNAcentral is "bacterial SSU rRNA". It matches the Rfam family "Bacterial small subunit ribosomal RNA", at positions 8 to 518 of the family's 1533-position model. The record is from RNAcentral.